Long non-coding RNA from Silurus meridionalis, 207 nucleotides. RefSeq lists it as uncharacterized. The record is from RefSeq and is a predicted model, not a curated record. NCBI's taxonomy places the organism in Eukaryota, Metazoa, Chordata, Actinopteri, Siluriformes, Siluridae. The transcript has 3 exons.
AACAAAAACACAAAAGCAAACUAAAAGCACCCACACACACACAUGCUUGGCUCACUAAGAGAUAGAUUUUCUAAAACCUUGAACAUGUGAAUGAUCCUCCUGGACCCACUUCCUCCUCCACGGUGCCUGGCAGCUGCUCAGUGUGAGGAGCGUGACACAAGACCCACAGAGGAUUGUUCACGUUACACAAAAAAAAAGUAAGAAAUG